AAAAAAUGCAAAAUAGAAGAAAAAUGAAAAAGAAAUCGUAAGAGUAAGAUCGUAACUAAACUAAAAAUACAGCAAAAAAAUUUGGAAAGAAUGAAGCAAUAAAAAUACUAAAUAAACAAAAUUGGAAUCAAAACACUUGACAGCCCGGUAUAAAAAAACUUGAGAAAUGAAAGAUAGAAAAAAAAUAAGGAAAAAGACGGAGCUUCAACAAUAGUAGUCUAAAGCCUAGAAUGACGAGAAGAUGUCUUGGAAAGAUGUCGAGAGAGACGUUGAGUCAACUUGCUUUCCAUACUGGCAAACGAAAGUGGUCGGAAAGAAUCGGCGGUUGGA
Non-coding RNA from Schizosaccharomyces pombe (fission yeast), 330 nucleotides. Lineage: Eukaryota; Fungi; Ascomycota; Schizosaccharomycetes; Schizosaccharomycetales; Schizosaccharomycetaceae. The record is from the annotation of a GenBank genome assembly.